This 67-nucleotide transfer RNA is filed under the name Simulium maculatum. RNAcentral describes it as "tRNA-Ser". Lineage: Eukaryota; Metazoa; Arthropoda; Insecta; Diptera; Simuliidae. The record is from RNAcentral.
GAAGCAUGAUGUCCAAGAAAAAGCUGCUAACUUUUUUCUUUAAUGGUUUAAUUCCAUUUAUGCUUUU